UCUACGGGAGGCAGCAGUGGGGAAUUUUGGACAAUGGGGGCAACCCUGAUCCAGCCAUGCCGCGUGAGUGAAGAAGGCCUUCGGGUUGUAAAGCUCUUUCGGCCGGGAAGAAAUCGUGGUCUCUAACAUAGGCCAUGGAUGACGGUACCGGACUAAGAAGCACCGGCUAACUACGUGCCAGCAGCCGCGGUAAUACGUAGGGUGCGAGCGUUAAUCGGAAUUACUGGGCGUAAAGCGUGCGCAGGCGGUUUUGUAAGACAGAUGUGAAAUCCCCGGGCUCAACCUGGGAACUGCGUUUGUGACUGCAAGGCUAGAGUACGGCAGAGGGGGGUGGAAUUCCACGUGUAGCAGUGAAAUGCGUAGAGAUGUGGAGGAACACCGAUGGCGAAGGCAGCCCCCUGGGCCUGUACUGACGCUCAUGCACGAAAGCGUGGGGAGCAAACAGGAUUAGAUACCCUGGUAGUCCACGCCCUAAACGAUGUCGACUAGUCGUUCGGAGCAGCAAUGCACUGAGUGACGCAGCUAACGCGUGAAGUCGACCGCCUGGGGAGUACGGCCGCAAGGUUAAAACUCAAAGGAAUUGACGGA
RNAcentral lists this ribosomal RNA (588 nucleotides) under Paracoccus sp. enrichment culture. RNAcentral's name for it is "bacterial SSU rRNA". It matches the Rfam family "Bacterial small subunit ribosomal RNA", at positions 338 to 917 of the family's 1533-position model. The record is from RNAcentral. Lineage: Bacteria; Pseudomonadati; Pseudomonadota; Alphaproteobacteria; Rhodobacterales; Paracoccaceae.